GACGAACGCUGGCGGCGUGCUUAACACAUGCAAGUCGAACGGAAAGGCCCUGCUUUUGUGGGGUGCUCGAGUGGCGAACGGGUGAGUAACACGUGAGUAACCUGCCCUUGACUUUGGGAUAACUUCAGGAAACUGGGGCUAAUACCGGAUAGGAGCUCCUGCUGCAUGGUGGGGGUUGGAAAGUUUCGGCGGUUGGGGAUGGACUCGCGGCUGAUCAGCUUGUUGGUGGGGUAGUGGCUUACCAAGGCUUUGACGGGUAGCCGGCCUGAGAGGGUGACCGGGCUCAAUGGGACUGCGGGACGGCGCAGACGCCUACGUGGGACAGCGGGGGGAAGUAUUGCACAAUGGGCGGAAGCCUGAUGCGGCAACGCCGCGGGUGGAAUGACGGCCUUCGGGGUGUGAACCGCUUUCGCCUGUGACGAAGCGUGAGUGACGGUAAUGGGUAAAGAAGCACCGGCUAACUACGUG
RNAcentral lists this ribosomal RNA (468 nucleotides) under uncultured bacterium. RNAcentral describes it as "partial 16S ribosomal RNA". It matches the Rfam family "Bacterial small subunit ribosomal RNA", at positions 28 to 507 of the family's 1533-position model. The record is from RNAcentral.